UGCAAGCCAGGCCUAAUUGCCCGACUUCACUAAUGCUCUUGUAGCUGAAUGGAAGCAAGUCCCCACAGCAAUGUGAUGUUCGACGAGCAGGUGUCCACAUACUUUUGUCAUGUAUUGUACAUGUAUUAGGAUCACUGAUGUGAAGAUCUGUAUUGUGGUAUAUUUAAAUCAAUGAACAGUUAAAGAAUAGAGAUGAGCACAAUCUAAGGAUUACCAUACUACCAAGAUACUCUCAUCAAAGAUAAUUAUUUGAGAAUGACUGCCUGGUGGCACAUGUUAUAUGAUUCAGAAGCUGACAUGUUGUGUUUGUCCCUAAAUAUUAAGCAAAUAAGCCUGAAAUGAAAGUCACUGGGAAAGAAUGGGUACUGGUCAACCUAAAUGUCUCUGGAUACUACAGGGUUAGAGCUAUGAUGAAGCCAACUGGGAAAGUCUCAUCAACGUACUGAGCACCAUUCCUCAGUUAUCAAUGGAGCUCAAUUGGUGGAUGAUCCUUUUAACCUUGCAAGGAGUGAAGCCUAUGGGGAUAUGCAGGCUUACCUCAAAAACAAGUAGAACCACUUUACAUACUAUAAGGGUAUCACUGACAACUGGAAAACAGUACCCACUGGGCAUAUGGACCAGUACAACCAAGUGAAUGCCAUUAGGAUGGCCUGUAGCACUGGAAUGACGGAGUGUCAGAAUCUGACUAAUGGCUGACCCUGUCAACAAUCCGUACCUGGACUACACCCUGGAUGCAACCAACAUCUGCAAGCAGGAUGCCACCUCUACCAUUUUUUACAUUGCAAGCAAUGUUGUUGGCCAGUCUCUGGCCUGGGACUUUAUGAGAGACAGAUGGGGUUACAUCUUAACUCAGUGAGUUUGAGCUUUUAUCACAUAUUGUAUUGAUUGUUUAAUUUCGAAGUGAUUCUUUGUCACAUUUGGUACACUGAUAUUUGAUCUAACUCUACAUUAGAUGUUGUUUUCUUACUUGACCUCGUCUGUCAUAGGUACGGAGGUGGUUCUUUCUCCUUCUCCAUCUCCAAUCUCAUCGAUGGUGUGACCAAGAGGUUUUCAACUGAAUUUGAGUUCUAACAGAUGGUAUUACAGAUUAGGGGAUUUGUCAGCACAUAUUGCUCAACAUGUUUGUAUUGGGGUACGAUGUGGACCCUAAAUGUAGAGUUUUCUAUAUUGCACAAUAUAAGUUAAUGUUUCUCUUCGCUGUCACAGCUCAUGCAGUUACAGGCAGACAACUGAGGUUGGCUUCGACUCGGGUAUCUUUGCAAUUUCACAGGCCAUUGAGCGGACAACAGCUAACAUCAAAUGGGUGGCAGAGAACAAGAACUGUGCAGGCAUGGCUUAAAGCAGAGACUGAUGCACCAUAAUGGUCACAUGGAGAAACAAACACCUGUCCAUUUAUUUAUUAUCUAAGACCAAUCCUAAAGCCAUGUUUCUUGUUGUUUUUUUGUCUCUCUAACAGUCAAUGACACUUUUUAUUCUAAAGUUAUCCUGCCCCUUAAUCAGAAAUACUAUGUCGGCCUAUACUUCUAUUUUUUGGGGAAAUAACGUUGUAUGAAUUAAAACAUAAUUUUUCUAUCAAAGACUAACUUUCUAAAAUGCUGCAUUGCUAUUAAACACUGGUUUAUGAUUGUGGAUUGUGGAAAUAAUGUGGAA
Oncorhynchus mykiss (rainbow trout) is the source of this 1650-nucleotide non-coding RNA. The record is from RefSeq and is a predicted model, not a curated record. Lineage: Eukaryota; Metazoa; Chordata; Actinopteri; Salmoniformes; Salmonidae.